Molecule: long non-coding RNA, 12220 nt
Organism: Marmota monax (woodchuck)
Lineage: Eukaryota; Metazoa; Chordata; Mammalia; Rodentia; Sciuridae
Exons: 4
Source: RefSeq, a predicted model, not a curated record
CUCGUAUUUGUUGCACAUCUGGAAGAUGAGAACUUCUAGAACAUUGCUUUUUACCCUCUGAGUGCAGGGCUGUGCCACCCCGCAGUGGAUUCUGGGAAGAAAGGACCUUGUAACUGAAAUGGACAUUGAGAAGAACCUUGUGAAGAAGUACAGAUGUCUUCCUUCUUGUUUCAUAGGGAUACGUUUGGCAUUAAACUGAAGGCAAAAGAAGAUGCAGACAUCAGCCAAUGGGUUGGGUCCCCCAGCCCUUACAAAGACCACCAUGUGAGCUGCUUCCCUUUGCCACACUCUUCUGCCAUGAUGUCCUGCCUCACCCUUGAGUCCUGAGGAAUGGAGCUGGCUGUCCAUGGACUGAGACCUCUGAAACUGUAAGCCUCUAAAUAAACUUUUUCUUCUCUAUAAUUGUUCUGGUCAGAAAACUGACUAAAACACUGUUCUUUCAACCAUACCACAUUGUCUUGAUUACUGCACUUUAUAGCAGGUCUUGAAGUCAGAUAAUGUCAGUCAUCUGACUUUAUUCUUCUCCUUCAAUAUUGUAUGGGCUCUGCUGGGUCUGUGUAUUAACUUUAGAAUCAGUUUGUUUAUAUCCAUGAAAUAACUGGCAGAGAGUUUGACUGAGAUUGUAUUAAAUCUUUGGAUCAGAUUGGGAAGAAUUGAUAGUUUUACAAUAUUGAGUCUCCUACCCAUGAGCAUGGACUAUCUUUCCAUUUACUUAUUUCUUUGAUGUAUUUCACCGUUGCUUUGUUGUUACCCUCAUAUGAAUGUUGUAUAUAUUUAGUUAGAUACAUACCUAAAUAUAUAUAUCUUUUUUGGGGGGGUUGCCAUUGUAAGGGGUUUUGUGUUUUUAAUUUCAAAUCAUACUUGUUCAUUUCUUGUAUAUCAAACUUGUAUCCUGCAACCUUACUAUGAUUACUUAUUAUUUCCAGGAGUUUGUUGUUGACACUUUUAGAUCCUCUGCACAGAUGAUGAUGUCUCCUGUGUCCAAAGAUAGCUUUAUUUCUGUUUUCCUCACUAGUAUGCCUUUAAUUUUCUUUUCUUAUUGCAUGAUAUAUCUUCAAUAAUUUAACUCUAAACUAUUUGUGUCCUUCUAUUUGGUGGGUUUCUUGUGGACAACUUACAUUGAGUUUUGUUUUUUGAUCACUGACAGUCUCUUUUAAUUGGUGCAUUUAGACUACUGGUGUUUAAAGUUAUUACUAAUAUCUACUAUGUUUGCUAUUGCUUUAUAUUUUAUUGCCUUUGUUAUUUGUUCCAGUUUUUGUAUUCCAAUUUUUCUAUCAUUUAUAGUUUUAAUGGAGCAUUUAAUGUAAUAUCAUUUUCUCUGCCUUCUUAGCAUAAGAAUUAUUUUUCUUUUAAAAACUUUUUUGAUGGUUUUCCUAGAGUUUCCAGUAUGCACUUAGAACUAAUCCGAGUCUGCUUUCAAAUCACACAAUAUUGCUUCAUGAUUAGUGCAGUACCUUAUAACAUAAUAAUUCUAAUUUCUGCUUGCUAUCCCUUUUGUAAUUCUGUUAUUCAUUCAGCUUUUACAUCAAGCAUAUAUACAUUGACAUGUGUACAAAAUAACAAAUACAUUGUUGCUAUUAUGACUUUGAAACAAACUGUUACGUGUAGAUCAAGUAAGAAUAUUAAAAGUUUUCAAUUUUACCUUUGCUUAUUCUCUGUCUUCAUUUAUGUAAAUCUGAGUUUCUGACUUUUCUUCUCUUUAAAGAACUUUUAAAAAACAUUUCUUGUGAUAUAGAUAUACUGGCAACAAAUUCCCUCAACAUUUUUUUAAAGACCAUUAUUUCUUCUUCACCUUUUUUUAAAAAUAUUUUUUGUAUUUGUAGAUGGACAGCAUGACUCUAUUUUUUAAUUUAUUUUAUUUAAUGCAGUGCUUAGGACCAAACACAGUGCCUCACACGUGCUCCCACUGAGCUACAGCCCCAACUCUCUUAAUUCAUUUUUGAAGAAAUUUUUUUCCAGGUGAAGAAUUUCAGGUUGGUGGGUUGGUUUUUCCUUUUUUUUUUCUUGUCUUAACACUAAAUAAUUCUCUCUAACAUCUUGCAUGGUUUCUGAGACAUCGGAAGUAAUUUUUGCCUUUGCUCCUGUAUAGGAAAGGCAUUUUUUUCCUCUGGCUUCUUUGAGAAUUUUUUCCCCCAUAUUUGACAUUGUGUGGUCUGAAUGUGAUAUGGUUUAAACAUGGUUUAAGUGUAGAAGUGAUGUGUGUGUGUGUGUGUGUGUGUGUGUUUGCAUGCAUCAGCUUCCUGGAUCUGUGUUUGGUGUCUGACAUUAGUUUGAGGAAAUUCUUGGUUAUUAUUGCUUCAAAUAUGAUUUUCUCCCGUUUCUCCCCCCGCCCUUUUUGUUAUUCCCAUUAUGUGCAUACAGCACUUUUCAUAGUUGUCCUACAGUCCUUGGAUAUUGUGUUCUACUUUUGUUUCAGUAUUUUUUUUUGUUUGUUUUUCAGUUUUGGGGGUUUCUGUGAAAAUAUCAUCAAAGUCAGAGAUUCUUUCCUCAGUUGUAUUCAGCCCACUAAUAAGUCCAUCAAAGGUAUUCUUCACUUCCAUUAUAGUUUUCAAUCUGUAGCAUUUCUUUUUGGUUAUUAGGAGCCCUAUCUUUCUGCUUACAUUUCCCAUUUGUGAUUAGAACCAUUUGUGUGUGGUCUAAUAUAUCUAUUAGAGCUCUUAAUAUUUUAAUCAUAGUUUUUAAAAAUUCCCAGUCUGACGAUCCCAACAUUUCUGCCAUAUCUGAUUUUGGUGCUUGCUCUGCCUCUUCACACUAUGUGUUUUGUCUUUUAAUAUGCCUUGUGUUUUUGUUUAUUUGUUCGUUUGUUUUUGUUUUUGGUGUUAGCCAGACAUGAUGGACAUGGGAACUGCUGCAACUAGACCUUUAGUGCUAUGGUGGGAAGGUGUGGGGGUGAGGAAGUGUUCUAUCCUUUUCUGUAGGUUGCGGUCUUUAGUCUGUUCCUCUGGACAGUGAAUUUCAGAAAUGCUUCUCAGUUGCUCCUCCUCCUUUAGGUGGGAUGGGAUGGCUUGAAUGGGCUCAUGUUGAAUAUUUCUCUCCUCCCACAUGAAAGGUUAGAGCCUGUUGAAGUUGAGUAUUUUCCUUCCCCAAGGUCUGUUAGGCUCUAAUAAAGCCACACAAAUUAGGCUCAGAUUAAAUAAUUUCUCCUGAGGCCAUGCCCUGGCAUACUUAAAAGUUGUUCCUUCAAAACACAACCUUUUUCUCUCCCCCCGCUUACCCCAAGGCACAUUUUUUUUUUCCUCCAAAAUUCACUGUGAGAACCUGGUAGAUAUCCAGCAGUUAAAAUUCACAAAAUGGGGUCCCUUCAUGGAUUGCAUCCCCCUAAAUGUUGUAACUCUCAGACUUAUCCACAUUGAACUUAUAGAAUUCAUUAAUCAAGGUUUCAGUUUUAUUACGUAAGCUUACUUCCCUUCAAGGUUUUUGAUCGUUGAGUUUCUGCUUUGGGGUGUUGUGAUUCUCUAUAUUCACCUGCUUGUCACUCCAGGUUUUUUUUUUAAAUAUUUUUGUAGUGGUUGAGAGACUUUUAUAUAUUUUUUUAUUUAUUCAUAUGUGGUGCUGAGAAUUGAACAGUGCCUCACACAUGCCAGGCAAGUGUGCUACUGCUGAGCCCCAGCCCCAGCCCCAUGUCAUUCCAGUUUUGAGGGCAGACAUUUGUGCCAUGAGCUCAUCCUUCUAACAGGUCUAAGGAGAGGUAUUGGUUUUUCAGCUUGUUCAGUUUUUUACUUGAUGGUACAUUGAGUUGGUAACUUCCAAGUUGCUAACAUGCUAGACCACUAACUGAAAAUAACUGUUAAGUUUUUUAAAAAAAAUUUAAAGAUAGGUAAUUUUAUGCAAAUACUCUUGAAGAAAAUAGAUAAGUUCUCUUUGACAUUUUUCAGUUGUGGUUUUGAUUUCCACCCCAUAGUUAACGAGUUUAAAGGAUUAUAAGUCAGUUUACUACCAUCACAAGUUAAUCUGAACAAUAGAUGCAAACUAUCUAUUUUGACCAUUGAAUGAUUCUGAUAUUAGUAUAACUGUGCAACGCUCUUAGGUCAUUAGGAGAAAAUCAAUAUGGAGAGUUUGGUGAAGUGGAAAUAUAAACUAUUUUCUACCAGUAGAGUUGUUGAUCUUUCAUUAGCUAGCACUUGACUUCAUAUCAGUUCUUUUUUUUUCUUUUUUGUAUCCUCAAAAUAAAAGUAUCUGAAUUCUGAAAUUUGCUCCAGGGAAAAUAAUUGAAUCUCUUGGGCUGGGGUUGUGGCUUAAGCGGUGGAGUGCUUGCCUGCACAUGUGGGGCGCUAGGUUUGAUCCUCAGCACCACAUGAAAAAAAAGUAUUGUAUUCACCUAAAGCUAAAAAAUAAAUAAUUGAAUCUCUCUUUUUUUUUAGCCAAAUCAGAAUGCUUUCGAUUAUAUUUAUUUAUCUAAGUUUAACAGGCCUGUGACUUUUAAUCCCAUAGGCUACCCACAUGAUAUUCUGACAUUUAUUAUCUUGCUGAAAGGUGAGCAAAGAAGCAGCUUUUCUAUCACUCCAGGGUUUGGGGACUAUUGCUUGGUGACAAUUGGCUUAGCCCUAGUGCUUUUGUGGGUGGUUGUGUUUGUCUAGUCAGAACUAGGGGUACAGAUAACAUCAUUCCCACUCUGCCUGACUGGGCUUGGCCUUGGAUGCUAUCACAGAUGGGGUUGGAAACUUUCACAGUAGAUCACAUCAAUUUAACCAUUAUUUCAAGAUUAUGUCUUUUUUGUUUGAAUAGUUUAGCUCAGAGAUCAUACUUUACAGACCCAUGCUCCUUCUUAACUAAUGUCACUGUCAUUUGGUCCUAUUCUGAUGUCUCUCCCAUAGACAAUGGCUUUUACUGAGUUAUCCUGGGUCUGGUCUCUCCUGAUCCUCACUGAGCUAUUUGUGAGCCCAGGGAGGAUCGCCAAUGAAAUCAUCAAUCCUUGACUAUUGAUUUUAUCUGUGCAAAACAAACCAGAACAGACAGGGAUGGAGCUGUUGACAGAAACUCCUCACUACUGUGCUGGGAAGCAUAGGAUUAAACUGUAUUAGGAUGAUUAAUGUACAGGGCAGGGGCUUCUGUUGGCAUUUAGUUUGAUUCUGGUUAAAUCGUUAGCAUCAGCAUUGUUUGAUAGGAUAAAAUCUCUAAAGUAAUGUCUGUGGAAGUAAAUAGCUGAUUGAUAAAAUACUCUUGAUUGGUCUUUUCAACAAAGUCUCUGAACUACAUCUAGUGGUAGGGCUAGGGUCAGCUGGGUUUCCAACUUCUCAUUAUAAGAUGGUGUUUGUUCCUCACAUCUUAUUUGGCAGCACAAAAGAUUACCUAUGGGUCAGUAGAGCUAAAGCAAUUUAGAAGGUCAAAAUUUAAUACAUUUAGAGAGAAAAGAGCCAAUUUAGAUAAUUUAAGCACAAAGAUUAUUUUCUUUGAGUAUAGAUUGUCCAAGAAGACUCAGAUUCUGUCCAUGGCUAUGCAAUUGUGUUUUGGCUGGCUGGCUUAUAGGUUAUGGUAUCCCCCCCACACCCCUCAAGUAAAAUAUUGACACAAAUGAAUUCAAUGAGCUGAUGAGGAAAGAAGAAUGGGUGGAAAGAUAUUGAGCAGAUUCUGAGAUUCUGUAAACAUCCUGCUGAUUUGGGAGCAUUUGAUAUUUGGGGUGUGAUUUGAUAUCUUCUAAUAGGAAAUGGAAUCAUGGGCAGCCAGGGGAGCACGCCACUCUUGUUCUGUUCUCUUGCUCCUCUCCUUCUCUGAGAGCUAAGGGCUAUGCCUCUGCCACCUGGCCACACAGUGUCAGUGUUCAGCCCAGUGCUCAGGUCUCAGCCAGCUGUGCAUUCUGGUUCUCAUGCGGCCCUUUUUUUUUCUCAGUGAUGCCCCUCAGAAUAGCUGGGACUUACGUGUGCACUCCCUUCCCCAGCACCCGGAAGACAAGCUAGGUGGUCCUAGACCCUAACUACUCCAGUCCAAACCUAAAUAAAAGAGGGGCAGCACCCUGUACCAGCCGAUUACACACUUGAUAUAGGAACUAAGAAACCUGAGCUCUCUUCUCAGUCUGCUCUGGAGUUGGACAGUCAGCUUUCAGAGGGCCGAUGAGUAUGUGUUACACUGCCCUGCUUCUCAUAAGACUAAGCUUUGUCCUUACUGCAACCCUUCUACUUAAAUAAUUCAGGAACAUUGAGCUCUAUGUACUGAGGUUAGGGGAGGCAGUGAAACCUCUGUGGACUGAGCUUCCUAUUUCCCUGUGAAGAGACCUCCUUUAGUGCUUCUCUCCAGGCACUCUCCACCUGGUGAUACAGAAUGGGGCUGUGGAACCAGCUGUGGGUGAAUCAGCUGAGCAUGGGUGUGGUUUCAGGGGGGGGGUCUAGCCUUCACAUGGAGUGUCUUUGGUGCAUUGAUUGAAGCUCCUGGUAAGAGGCUUGCCCUUUGUGCCUUCAUAUCUGUCAGUUAUUGGCUGCGGGGCUGCAGGGUGGGAACUGAGGGCAUUGUGAUUUCCUCAUUGAGGCAAUACCCCUCAGCAGAGGGCAAUUCUCUUGGGAAUUGAGCAGCUGGGAGAAGGGAGCUAACCCUCAGGAAAAUUGGGGAGGAUGUGCUGGCUGGGUGAAAGGGAUCUGAGAAGCAACUAAAUGACAUCUUACACCUCCAUACAAUGCAAUGUCCAAGAGGGCUGGGACUUUUGUUUUGCCUUGUGCUAUAUCUCUAGCACAUAGAAUAGAGCCUGGUACAUAAUGGAUCUUCAAAUAAAUAUCUGUUGAAUGAUGUAAUGAACUUAUUGAACUGGCCCAGGCCGGGUCUCAGGGAUACAAUGAUGAAUUAGCUGUGAGCUAAUGGGAAUUUAGAUACAAGUAAUUAAAACGGUGUUGGUAAGCACUGUCAUGGGAAAAGCAGGGAGGGCUAGGAGCACACAGUAGGGACACUAAAACCCUGAAUUGGGAAGAGUAGGUAUUGCAGGCCUUGUGGUAAGGUGAAGGACUGUGCUUCCCAGUGCAGUUAUUCAUGGUCAGUGGAGGGCAUGUAAAUAAAAUUGUAAACACACCCACAAGAUUGCAGCCUUGCUCUGAAGAUCCCAGUUCUGUUUUGUUUCACCUGUGAUUUCUGUCUCAGAUAAAAUGAUCAAAAGGAGAAAAACCUGAGCUCUAGGACCCUUCACAUCUGUCCCUGGUCUCUUUCCUCAUAUGCACAAUGAAAGGGUUGAACUUGAAUUUCCUUGGGAGCUGACCUGCUUUGAGUCAAGGGAAGGGCAUGUACACUGGGCUCUGCCUGUCUUCUGGUAGGAAGCUUGGAAAUGCCAGACAGGCAAUUAGUACUGCCAACCAGCCAGUAUUCCCUGGCGUCUAGGGAUCCAUUGGGGCAUUUGGAAGUUGGUUGUUUUUCCCCUCUAAAGGCAUCAGUGUCACAUUUGAGUGCUAAGGAGGUAGGUCAGUUUUUAAAAAGAGAACCUGAGUGUGCUGAGGAAAACAAGCAGCUACCACAGUGAUCCUUCUGCCCCACUCAGUACUCAGUAAAGCCUGGUAAUUGAUGAGCUCACCUGUAUGGUCUGGUCCACCUGAGAAAUUCUACACUGGAUGGAUGUGAAUGGCCUUCCUCAAUAUUUUUAAAUUUGUUUUUUGGGAAUGUGUGUGUGUGUGUAUGUGUGUGUGUGUCUGUGCACGCACUCGUGUGCAUGGAUGUACUAGCUAAUGCACAUAUAAUUGGGGAAAAGGCCACAUGAGUUGGCUUGGGGGAAUGUCUUCAACUGAACGUGAGUUUUAAUGUUGGAUAGUCAUGUGCCCGUUAGACAUUUCCAUAAUUCAUCUUGGAAAAUGGAAAAAAAAGGAACUUAGGUAAAAUAUAAAGGCAUUAUUGAAAUGUCAUAGAGUAGUUACAUAACAUUGAUUAUAUAAAGCCUGAGGGUAGGGGCAGGAGAGGAUUUAUUAUUCAGAAACUUCUAGUAAUUUGAAGACAUUCAAAAACAUCAGUGUUCUCAUGCAUUAUCAUGUUUGUUGCUAAUUUUUGGCAGGACAUUUUUUUGAAGGAUUUUAGUUCUUUUGAGUCUCAAGUCAACUUGAGCCUAGGGGUGGGUCUCUGGCUCAAUAUCUUACCUCUGCCCCAUUCUUGUGCUACUUUUUAACCCCUGGACGGGUGCUCUUGAUUGGCUGCUGCCUUUCCCACCCCUUGGAACACUGGCCUUGAGGUCUGCCAUGUUUAAUGGGACCCACCCUGCUAGAUUAUUUUCUGGUUUUGUGCUUGAAUUACUCUAGCUUCAGAGCUCUGAUUGAAGGGGUAUAAUAUGUCAGAAACCAGGUGGUUUGAUUUACCAGAUAUUAAUUUUUUUGCAAGAUGAUAGUUCUUUAAAAGGAGAUACUCCCUGAAUACUAGUUAGUCAUAAAAUAUACUUAUGUAAGCUUGUAUAAUGUUAGAAUACAUGCAAAAAUUGAGACUGGUGCAUACUGCCAUGGCUCACUUAUUAAUUAAACACCAAUGUAAAUAACAAUAUCGUGGUGUGUUGGCAGGAGCUGUGUCAGGUAGUAGGAGAGGCUGGUUUCUGGUAUUGCUUGGUCACAACCUGUGGCAAGUAGCAUGGCCUGGCUUGAUUUCAGUUUCUCCACAGAACUAGAUCAUCUUUAAGGAUCCUUCUAACUCUGUGAGCAAAGCCCAAGGUUAUGUAGCUGAAAAGCUUUGCCAAAGCAGCAAGAUGUGUGUUUUCAUUCAGGUAUCUUAAAUUCAUCUCCCUGAACUUUGGGUCAAAUCUUGACUUGUGAAAAAUGAAACCAAAUAGCAAAGGCUCCAGCUUAUCAGACACCCUAACUUAAUUUUGAUCAAAUGUUGUUUUUCUAUGAAAUUGAUUACUAAGAUAAUAAUAUGCUUGGGUGAAGGGUAUUGGCUCUAGACAAAGGGAUUGCUUUUUAGCCUGGCCAGUUCUUGAGAGGGAAAGCUGAUAUUGUCAUCAGAACCGUGGUGCAUUCUCCCUUGGGAAGCUCGCUGCCAUAUAAGCCAACACAUACAUGGAAGUUUAUGCUGGAAUCAGUCAGACAUGUUCAUGUAUUUCCAUUUUCUUUUUUUUUAUUAGUUACACAUAACAGUACAAUGAUUUGACAUAUCAUACAUUUGAAUCAAAUGGAGUAUAAUUUCUCAUUUUUCUGAGUGUACAGUUUGCAGAAUCACAUUGGUCAUGCCGUUAUGCAUAUAUACACAGCAAUACUAGUGUCUAUUUUAUUCUGCUGUCCUUCCCUUCCCCCCUUCCCCUCCCCUCCCCUCCUAUCACUUCUCUCUACCCAAUCUAAUGUGACACACUUCUUUCUUUUUUUUCCCCCUCAUAUCAUCAUACAUGUAUUCUGUAUAACAAUGAGGGUUUCCUUCCAUUUUCUUAAGCAAAACCCAACCCAUGUGGAAAUUGUCAUAUUUGAAUUGUUUUCCUUUUCAGAGGGAAGGUAUGCAAUACUGGACAAAGGGAGAAAGGCUUUUUCAGGAAAUGUUCUGUCUUCUUUUUGUAGGGAAGAACCCACUUCUGAGGCAGAACUGUCAUCAAAUGUCAUUCGUAUUAUGACCCAUCUCAUAAACAAAACUCUUCCCCUUUGCAGAUAGGUGCACUGAUGAGGUGAUGGCCAGUCAGGAUUACUUAAUGUCUCAUUACACUAAGAGACACCUUUAGGGCUAUUAGCUGUUAGUUACACUAAGCAGAAUGAAACAGAAAACUGGUAGAUCUAGGAGGAUUUGCAUGUUUUGCCCUUCACAGUCAUUUAAAAGAAGUUCCAUAGUGGUAGAGUAGUUAGAAUGGGUUAGUUAUUUGAGUUAUUCCAUCAAUCCUAGAUCAGAAUUGCCUGAUCUUGCAUGGACACUGCAAUUGGAAUGGGCAGAACUCAGCUGACCUGCUGCUAGGGAAACAGCCUCUGUUCAUGUGGUUAUUUCCAUAGGCGGGUUUAAGCUACACAUAAGAACAUUUCAUACAAUUUCAGAUUUGUUUGUUUGUUUUGCAACAUGAUAAAUUGGAUAUGAAGAAAUAAUUAUUGUAGUUUAUUUGAUGGUAAGUGAGCCUUAGCUCCCUCGUAGCCAUUCAUUCACGGCUACUGCAAGAUGAGAUGACCCUGGCACGCUGGGGGUUAAUGUACUACAAGAGAGGGAGCAAUUUUCUAUCACCUCAUAAGGAGAAAAAGACUCAGUAAUGGAUUUUACUUCCCUCCUUGAUUUAUUAGAUUUUACGGAAAAUUUAACGUGGUAUGUCCUUUGUAGCAAAUCACUGAAUGAAGGCAUUUCACUUUGAGGAAAUCCUAUACACUAAAAAAGGAAUUCAGCAAUUAAGUAAGGAAAAAUUCACAUGAGCAAAAGUUUCAUUUUACUUUACAAAAGGCUCUUUUAAUGAGCCAAUUCCAGUGCUUUAAAAAGAACAUGCUAAGUGAGGAACAUAGCCUGUUUCCUGAGUAAUGACUUCAGGUAAAUUGACACAAACACAGCCAAAUGUUCUGGAUGCCCAGCAGGACCUAGAAGAAUCAGCUAAUUUAUAAUUAUAAUGCCCAUGUGCCCUGGCAGCAAACUUUCCACCCUCUUGAAUGCAAAAUUGUACUUUAGUUCUCAGGAAGGUUUUCUUCUUUUUCUUUUUUCUUUUUUUUAAUCCCUUUUUUUCUUGCUACCUCUUUGCCUUAGACAAGAAGCUCUUUGGGUAACACCUUUUUAUUUAUGAGGAAAAAAAAACAUUUUAAAUCUUUUAUUUUUUGUUUAAGUUAGUUUUUUACCAGAGAAGAAGGGGUCAUGUACGGUAUGUUCAUGGAGACUAAAUUAACUAAUGGAGUUUCACUGUCGGUUGAGUGUUCUGAGGAAAUAUUUGGGAACUGAACUUAUAAACAGAAGUCCAGUGUUCAGGGCCCUAGAGAAAUAAUGAUGGCUCCUGCCCACUGAACAUUUUGUGCUGUGGGUCAAGCCAAAGGUGAGAGAAGAGGGAAAGAGCCACAGGGUUUGUCAAAGUUGGGGCUAUGUUUGGACCAACCUGAUUGUGUGGUAUUUUUCUUCUAAGUUAUGAUAUGUGCAAGUUGUUAUUUAGAACAACUGAUGAAAUCAUCUAAUAAAUAUGUUUGUGGAUGAUUGGGUGGGCUAUUAAGGGAAAUCCAGAGCUGGGUUUGAAGUUGUUUUAAGACCACUGGACCCUGCCUGGAAUGAGGGUUGCAAAUUGCUUACAAGAACCACCAUCUGACUGGAGCUCUUUCUACCACUGAAUUUAAGACCCUGAAGGAUUUUUUUUUUUUUUUUUGGUACUGAGGGUUGAACCCAGGGGCACUUAACCACUGAGCCACAUCCCCAACCCUUUUAAAAUAUUUAUUUAGAGACAGGGUCUCUCUGAGAUGCUUAGGGCCUCAUUAAGAAGGUUUUCUUAGUGAGAAGCUGAGUCUGCCUUUGAACUCACGAUUCUCCUGCCUCAGUCUCCCGAGCUGCUGAGAUUAUAGGCGUGCACCACCAUGCCAGGAUUUUUAAAAUCAUUAUUUUAAAAUGGUAAAUUACAUAGACAUGCCAAUCAGGAUAAACAAAUAGGCUUGUAAAAAAAAACCAGAGUACUAGUGUCUCUUGCUAAAAUGAGGAGGAGGAGGAGGAAGGAGAAAAGGGAAGAGGGAAGGAAGAAGACAGUUUAGAAAUUCUGAAUAUGCUUUUUUUAUAAUACACUAGGCUUUUAAUUGUUGACUAUUUGGUGUGUGUGUGUGUGUGUGUGUGUGUGUGUGUGUGUUAUCUCCUCUUACUUGAAGUGAUCAGGGAGCCAUCUGAAGAAUCAGGAUGAUUUUUUUAUAGCAGCAAACAUUCUAACUUUUGUUUGUUGUGUGCCCAGGAAGCAGAGAACAACAAAGCAUGGCCCUUGUCUUCUGUCUUCACAGGUAUCUAUUCCUUCCUUUCUAUUUCCUUAUUUAGUCUGAAUUUUAAUAUGUAAUAUUCAAGUGGCCUCAUAAAGCUCAUUUCCUUCUAGUGAGAUUUUCCAGAAAGCCUACUGUUGUUCAUUGGAAAAUACCCAAUUGGUGGUGUGGCCCUUUAACUUUACGUGCACCUAAAAGCCCAGCAUCUGCUUCUGGUCAGCUGGAUCUAUGUAUGCCCCUGGACCUUUACUCUUCCCUUUAUAUGAAUAUACUUCUAUAUUCAUAUAAAACAAGUAAAGACAAAAUUUUACUUCUUAGGAGCCAUUCGUUGAAUAAUUGGUAUGUUAUUUUCAUUCUUGCAGAAAUGGAUUGUAACUGUUGCUUAGAAUAGGAAACUGGUAAAAACUGACUUUGAAAUGACAGUUACAUAGAAACAUUGUUUAAAAAAAAUCACA